AUUGAACGCUGGCGGCAGGCCUAACACAUGCAAGUCGAACGGUAGCACAGAGGAGCUUGCUCCUUGGGUGACGAGUGGCGGACGGGUGAGUAAUGUCUGGGAAACUGCCCGAUGGAGGGGGAUAACUACUGGAAACGAUAGCUAAUACCGCAUAACGUCGCAAGACCAAAGAGGGGGACCUUCGGGCCUCUUGCCAUCGGAUGUGCCCAGAUGGGAUUAGCUAGUAGGUGGGGUAACGGCUCACCUAGGCGACGAUCCCUAGCUGGUCUGAGGGGAUGACCAGCCACCCUGGAACUGAGACACGGUCCAGACUCCUACGGGAGGCAGCAGUGGGGAAUAUUGCACAAUGGGCGCAAGCCUGAUGCAGCCAUGCCGCGUGUAUGAAGAAGGCCUUCGGGUUGUAAAGUACUUUCAGCGAGGAGGAAGGCAUUAAGGUUAAUAACCUUAGUGAUUGACGUUACUCGCAGAAGAAGCACCGGCUAACUCCGUGCCAGCCGCCGCCGUAA
Molecule: ribosomal RNA, 506 nt
Filed under: uncultured bacterium
Lineage: Bacteria
Description: partial 16S ribosomal RNA
Rfam family: Bacterial small subunit ribosomal RNA
Source: RNAcentral